This 437-nucleotide ribosomal RNA is filed under the name uncultured bacterium. Its description in RNAcentral is "partial 16S ribosomal RNA". It matches the Rfam family "Bacterial small subunit ribosomal RNA", at positions 339 to 795 of the family's 1533-position model. The record is from RNAcentral.
CUACGGGUGGCUGCAGUGAGGAAUAUUGCACAAUGGGGGGAACCCUGAUGCAGCAACGCCGCGUGGAGGAUGACGCAUUUCGGUGUGUAAACUCCUUUUAUAUGUCAAGAAAAUGACAGUAGCAUAUGAAUAAGCACCGGCUAACUCCGUGCCAGCAGCCGCGGUAAUACGGAGGGUGCAAGCGUACUCGGAAUCACUGGGCGUAAAGGACGCGUAGGCGGGUUGGAAAGUCAGGUGUGAAAUCCUACAGCUUAACUGUAGAACUGCACUUGAAACUUCUAAUCUAGAGUAUGGGAGGGGAGAUUGAAUUAGUGGUGUAGGGGUAAAAUCCGUAUAUAUCACUAGGAAUACCUAAAGCGAAGGCGAUCUCCUGGAACAUUACUGACGCUAAGGCGUGAAAGCGUGGGGAGCAAACAGGAUUAGAUACCCGGGUAGUC